RNAcentral lists this long non-coding RNA (471 nucleotides) under Manihot esculenta (cassava). RNAcentral describes it as "long non-coding RNA (MESC_LNC003169)". The record is from RNAcentral. Lineage: Eukaryota; Viridiplantae; Streptophyta; Magnoliopsida; Malpighiales; Euphorbiaceae.
UUAAUUUUAUUGGUCUUGUUGAGAAAAAUAAAUAGGUAAUCAAUUCUCUGUGGAUUCGAUCAUUUCACCACUAUCUGCAGUUGUAAAUUGUUAAUAACCAGAGAAGUUAUUUUUGACCGGUUUCGACAACCGCGAGUCAAGAGGAAAGAUCCUUUUUCAGAGAGAAAAAGAACAAGAGAUCGAUUUUAAUCCAAAUGAAAAAAGAGAAUCAAAUGGAUUUAUCGGCAACGAAACCAAAUAAUGUUACAGAAACUAAAUAGAUGACAUGACCGGAAUGAAACUGUGUUGUGAUUGAAUAAUGUAUUUGUAACGACCCAGAAACUGGACCGCUACCGGCGCUAGGAUCCAGAUCGGCAUAAGGCCGCUGGGACCCGUAGCAAGCCUAACAUACAUCCUGUAUACCUGUUAAAUCCCAUACAUGAUCAAACAUAGACAUAAAAACUUUAAACUUUCUCUUUCAUUUACCAAGCU